ACUCAAAUGAAUUGACGGGGACUCACACAAGCAGUGGAGCAUGUGGUUUAAUCCGAUACGACGCGUAGAACCUUACCAGGGCUUGACAUGUUCGGCAAAACUCGGGAAACCGAGCGGAGGUUAUCCGAACACAGGUGUUGCAUGGCCAUCGUCAGUUCGUGUUGUGAGAUGUAUGGUUUAGUCCUAUCAACGAACGAAACCCUUGUGCUUAGUUGCUAACAGGUAAUGCUGAGGACUCUAAGUAGACUGCCAAGGUAACUUGGAGGAAGGCGAGGAUCAAGCUUGGUCGUCAUGGCCCUUAUGCCCUGGGCGACACACGUGCUACAAUGGUUAGUACAAAGCGUUGCUAACCCGCGAGGGUCCGCUAAUCGCAAAAAACUAACCUCAAUUUGGAUUGGAGGCUGAAACUUGCCUCCAUGAAACUGGAAUUGCUAGUAAUCGCAAAUCAGCCAUGUUGCGGUGAAUAUGUCCCUGAGUCCUGCACACACCGCCCGU
This 495-nucleotide ribosomal RNA is filed under the name uncultured bacterium. Its description in RNAcentral is "partial 16S ribosomal RNA". It matches the Rfam family "Bacterial small subunit ribosomal RNA", at positions 899 to 1397 of the family's 1533-position model. The record is from RNAcentral.